UACGUAGGGAGCAAGCGUUGUCCGGAAUCAUUGGGCGUAAAGGGUGUGUAGGUGGCGCGCUAAGUCGGGUGUGAAAUUUCGGAGCUUAACUCCGAAACUGCAUUCGAUACUGGCGUGCUUGAGGACUGGAGAGGAGACUGGAAUUCAUGGUGUAGCAGUGAAAUGCGUAGAGAUCAUGAGGAAGACCAGUGGCGAAGGCGGGUCUCUGGACAGUUCCUGACACUGAGACACGAAGGCCAGGGGAGCAAACGGG
Molecule: ribosomal RNA, 253 nt
Filed under: uncultured bacterium
Lineage: Bacteria
Description: partial 16S ribosomal RNA
Rfam family: Bacterial small subunit ribosomal RNA
Source: RNAcentral